AUGGCUGCUGGAGUGCAGGACGACGCGCUGUGGUACCCGGUUUCGAUCAGCCAGAUUGGCGAUGCGAUUCAGGUGGGCGAUUUGGCCGGGGUGGCACCUCCGCCACCACCGCCGCCGCCCCCCUCCCCGCCUUCUGCUGAUGAGGAUGGGGGUGGUGGCCGUCGGGAUGCAAACGGGGGCCCGCCGGCGCCGCCAUCCAGGGCCUCGCCGGACUCUUCUUUGGCGAACUCGGCCCCUCCGCCGCCGCGGCCGCAGCAGGGGGGUGGAAUUCGAAAUCGAGUGGACGGUCAACAUGACCAGGUGGACUGUACGGGGAUUGCUUCGGAUGAUACGGGUGACGCGACCCUGAUCGUGGGUGAGGUCAGCGUGGAACGCCCGUUGGGAGUGGAGCGUGCUCUAGGCGCUUCGAUAGGCAUGGAGGCUCCCUCAGUGGAAAGCAGGGUCGGCCCCACUGGUCACCAGAGAGGGGGCCGGGCAGGCUACGCGCCAAGGAUGCUGGUUCGGGAGGAUUCGGUGGCCUCGAUCAACCAACCGGAAGGGGAGAUCGCGCCGCCCCUGACGAUGAGUGGGCAGACAGUGCUGGGCCAGGGCGGGUCGUGUCUGCUGGUGGGGCCUAGCAGCCCUAUGGGCGCAGGAGAUUCGCCUGGGAUCAGAGUGGGCGAUUGGGAGCUACGCCUCUCCCAGGUGGAGGAAAGCCCGCUGCGGGGGCCAUGUGCACUGACCGAGGAGGAUCUUGACAGCGACAACUGUGGCAGCUCCGUGCUGGUGGAUUUGCCAGGUUUUUUGGAAUCUGUGGAGGGACUCGUGGGGCCCGAGCUGCAUGGGGAUGUGACACCGCCAUGCACGGAAGGCACUGGAUGGUUUUUGGUUAGCCUCUCUGAACAGCUUGAGGAAACAAAUCUGCCGCCCGUCCUGGCCGUGCCGAACCCGUCUCCUGAGGAUAGGGCGAUCCAGCUUUGCAAUGAACUCAGGGGCAACAUCACGCCGAUCCUGGAGCAGCCCACAUCCAGGGGCCUUGCGGUGAAGCGGAGAAGGCCGCGCCGGAAGAAGGCGCCUGUAACAACUCCCAGGCGCAACGUGCGACUUGCCAAAGGAGGCCGGGGCUCUCGGGCUUCAAAACAGCAAGCGGUCCUGAUCAAGAAGCUAUGUCUAGCGAACGAGGCAGAUCUGAUAAGCGAUGACACCCUGGAAGCAUACGCCAGGCUGUUCGACAAGCCGCUCAUGGACUGCCAUGUCAAGGCGAUUUUGGCUCUGUUUGGGUGGGAGGAAUCCAUCCUUCCUCUUCAAGGGGAUGAUGAUACGGUGGUCGAGGGACAUUAG
RNAcentral lists this ribosomal RNA (1320 nucleotides) under Triticum aestivum (bread wheat). RNAcentral's name for it is "partial small subunit ribosomal RNA". Lineage: Eukaryota; Viridiplantae; Streptophyta; Magnoliopsida; Poales; Poaceae. The record is from RNAcentral.